GCCGGCUUAGCUCAGUGGUAGAGCAACCGCUUCGUAAGCGGUAGGUCGUGUGUUCAAAUCACACAGCCGGCACCA
RNAcentral lists this transfer RNA (75 nucleotides) under Holosporaceae bacterium. Its description in RNAcentral is "tRNA-Thr". It matches the Rfam family "tRNA". Rfam says of the family: Transfer RNA (tRNA) molecules are approximately 80 nucleotides in length. Lineage: Bacteria; Pseudomonadati; Pseudomonadota; Alphaproteobacteria; Holosporales; Holosporaceae. The record is from RNAcentral.